CAAGGUUAAAACUCAAAUGAAUUGACGGGGGCCCGCACAAGCGGUGGAGCAUGUGGUUUAAUUCGAUGCAACGCGAAGAACCUUACCUGGUCUUGACAUCCACGGAAGUUUUCAGAGAUGAGAAUGUGCCUUCGGGAACCGUGAGACAGGUGCUGCAUGGCUGUCGUCAGCUCGUGUUGUGAAAUGUUGGGUUAAGUCCCGCAACGAGCGCAACCCUUAUCCUUUGUUGCCAGCGAUUAGGUCGGGAACUCAAAGGAGACUGCCAGUGAUAAACUGGAGGAAGGUGGGGAUGACGUCAAGUCAUCAUGGCCCUUACGACCAGGGCUACACACGUGCUACAAUGGC
RNAcentral lists this ribosomal RNA (345 nucleotides) under Salmonella enterica. RNAcentral's name for it is "partial 16S ribosomal RNA". It matches the Rfam family "Bacterial small subunit ribosomal RNA", at positions 889 to 1234 of the family's 1533-position model. The record is from RNAcentral. RNAcentral also lists the same sequence under 1 other name. Lineage: Bacteria; Pseudomonadati; Pseudomonadota; Gammaproteobacteria; Enterobacterales; Enterobacteriaceae.